AGAGUUUGAUCCUGGCUCAGGAUGAACGCUAGCGGCAGGCCUAACACAUGCAAGUCGAACGGUAAGAUCCAGCUUGCUGGAUACACGAGUGGCGCACGGGUGAGUAACGCGUAUGCAACCUACCUUUAACUAGAGAAUAGCCCGGGGAAACCCGGAUUAAUACUCUAUAAUAUCUUGGAUUCGCAUGUUUCUAAGAUUAAAGCUCCGGCGGUUAAAGAUGGGCAUGCGUGACAUUAGUUUGUUGGUGAGGUAACGGCUCACCAAGACUACGAUGUCCAGGGGGCCUGAGAGGGUGGUCCCCCACACUGGUACUGAGACACGGACCAGACUCCUACGGGAGGCAGCAGUGAGGAAUAUUGGGCAAUGGACGAAAGUCUGACCCAGCCAUGCCGCGUGCAGGAUGGCGGCCCUACGGGUUGUAAACUGCUUUUAUACAGGAAGAAAUCCCUGAUCGUGAUCGGGGUUGACGGUACUGUACGAAUAAGCAUCGGCUAACUCCGUGCCAGCAGCCGCGGUAAUACGGAGGAUGCAAGCGUUAUCCGGAUUUAUUGGGUUUAAAGGGUGCGUAGGCGGAAAUUUAAGUCAGUGGUGAAAUCCUGCAGCUCAACUGUAGAACUGCCAUUGAUACUGAUUUUCUUGAGUCCAGUUGAGGUGGGCGGAAUGUGUAGUGUAGCGGUGAAAUGCUUAGAUAUUACACAGAACACCAAUUGCGAAGGCAGCUCACUAAACUGGCACUGACGCUGAGGCACGAAAGCGUGGGGAGCGAACAGGAUUAGAUACCCUGGUAGUCCACGCCGUAAACGAUGAUCACUCGCUGUUGGCGAUACACAGUCAGCGGCUGAGCUAAAGCACUAAGUGAUCCACCUGGGGAGUACGAUCGCAAGAUUGAAACUCAAAGGAAUUGACGGGGGCCCGCACAAGCGGAGGAACAUGUGGUUUAAUUCGAUGAUACGCGAGGAACCUUACCUGGGCUUAAAUGCAGAACGACGAUUCGGGAAACCGAUUCUCCCUUCGGGGCGGACUGCAAGGUGCUGCAUGGUUGUCGUCAGCUCGUGCCGUGAGGUGUCGGGUUAAGUCCCAUAACGAGCGCAACCCCUAUUGUUAGUUGCCAGCGGAUAAUGCCGGGGACUCUAACGAAACUGCCGGUGUAAACCGUGAGGAAGGUGGGGAUGACGUCAAAUCAGCACGGCCCUUAUGUCCAGGGCUACACACGUGUUACAAUGGCCGGUACAAAGGGCUGCUACUCCGCGAGGAGAUGCAAAUCUCGAAAGCCGGUCUCAGUUCGGAUUGGAGUCUGCAACUCGACUCCAUGAAGCUGGAUUCGCUAGUAAUCGCGUAUCAGCAACGACGCGGUGAAUACGU
RNAcentral lists this ribosomal RNA (1362 nucleotides) under metagenome. RNAcentral describes it as "bacterial SSU rRNA". It matches the Rfam family "Bacterial small subunit ribosomal RNA", at positions 8 to 1371 of the family's 1533-position model. The record is from RNAcentral.